AGAAAAGCCCCUCUGAGGAAGUGACAUUUAAAUGGAAGUCUAAUUAAAUUACUCUAGGAAGAGGACACAGCAAGUACAAACGUAUGACUUGAGAGAAGUCAGAAGACCAGUACAGGUGUCACCGGACUAAAACUGGAGUAUCAGCAGGCAUUCCCUUCUGGAGGCUUAAGGGCAGAAUCCAUUUCCUUGCAUUUUCCAGCUUCUAGAGGCAUCUCCCUGGUCCUUGCAUACUGUCGCCAACAUUUCAGAACUGGCAAUAGGACAAAAUGCUUUAUCACAAGAAGGAUAUGUACCUGGAUCCAGCAGAGUAAGAUGUAAUUCUCAGAUUUCUAUUAAAACUAUUUGGGGAAGACACAAAGCUCUCUUUCCAUUAAAAUUGCCAAGCUUUUACGAUAAGAGUCUGGGACUGCCAGAAUCCAGCCAGUUAUGUUACGUGGAAGUUAUGUGCCUGUGAAUUCGGCCAAUAUGGAAAAAAUUAGAGGCAAGAGAUGGAGAGUCAAUGUCCUUUGAGAACCUGGAUCAAGUCACACCUGAGUUGCCCACCACUGGAUGAAGGAAUCCCAUAUCUCAACUCGUUUGGUAUGUAUGGAACAUAAAAAGAAAAAAAGAGAGAAACUCAUCAAGUGGAAGAACGGGAUGAGGAAAAGGUUUACUCAGGGAGGCUGCAUGGGGAAGAAAGGGCAGCCAAAGAUGAAACUCUGUGGACAAUAUGGUGCAACAGAGAUCUGGCUGGCAGUUCUCCUUACUCUUUCUUAUGUGACAACCAUCUUUUCACCAUGAGGCAAUAAGGUAAAUAUAUCAAGGAUGAAAUAAUGUAAAGAUACAAGGAAUUCUUGAUGGCAUUGUUGAACAGCCACACCAAAUGUGUCAGCCAUUGUAGAAAAGCUCAAGAAGUCCACAUAAAUGUUUCUAAAUUAAUCAGACAGUACUGGAUUCCAGUGAAGAAGAAACUAAGAGUAUAUGAUGUCAUCAUAUAGCAAUAAAACCAAUUCACCUGUGAAGCUUAUGAAGACAGGUUGAGUCCUGAAAGAUGAGAGAGAGCCAGCAUGUGAACGGCAAUGAGGACCAAGUUGCUGGCAGGAAAAAAACAAGUGCAAAACUCAGAAGCAUCAGACAGCUUGGCAAAUGGUAGAAGAAUAUAUAGGCAGGUUUUGGGGGAAGGUCAUCAAGAAGACAAGACCACCAGUUGACCUGCGAGCUGGACCUAACAAUUGGGAGACCCCCACCCGCUUCCCGUCUUUGGAAUGUGCAUUGCCUUCCCUACUCUCAGAAGCUGCCCUAAGGUACAGCCCUGAGAUAGCAAUGUGGUAAUGAGGCUAUCUGGACUGGGUGCAUGACUAAACCCUCCCAGGGCCCGUGUAUACGUGACUGAAUCCAGCUAAGGCCUCUAUAAACUUUUAAGAUUUGGAAGGUGGGUGCGGAAAACUACUUGUAUUGCAGCUGCCCAGACAAGUCUUGUAAGUUCCUUGGUCAUUAAAAC
This 1480-nucleotide long non-coding RNA is filed under the name Equus asinus (donkey). RNAcentral describes it as "lncRNA (ENSEASG00005034503.1)". The record is from RNAcentral. Lineage: Eukaryota; Metazoa; Chordata; Mammalia; Perissodactyla; Equidae.